Tachysurus fulvidraco (yellow catfish) is the source of this 1439-nucleotide long non-coding RNA. RefSeq lists it as uncharacterized. The transcript has 3 exons. NCBI's taxonomy places the organism in Eukaryota, Metazoa, Chordata, Actinopteri, Siluriformes, Bagridae. The record is from RefSeq and is a predicted model, not a curated record.
UAAUAAUAAUAAUAAUUACAUUUUAAUCAAUAGAAAUAAAACACAAGUUGAAAAAAUAUUUACUACAUUGUAAUAUUUAUGGCUGAUUGGCUCAAGCUUGUUAGCAAAGUAGCUUGCUAUGUAGAUACAGUAGGUGAUUUUCUUGACCCCAGUUCAGUUUAAAAAUAUUCAGAUUAACACAUCUAUUUAUUUAUUUAUUUAGUUAGUUAGUUAGUUAGUUAGUUAGUUAGUUAGUUAGUCCAAGCCAGGGUUUUCAAAUAGCAUCUAGACCAGCACAUUUAAACAAGAAAACUGGAAUUAAAUUUAGUUUUUUCUUACUGGAAGAGAUGUAACACAAAUCCAGAGGCAUAUAUGUUGGGAUAUGUGUUAAUGCAAUGUUUUUGCUUGUUCAGUGUGCUCUUUUAAUGUUGUUGCAGGAUCAUAUCAUCUUUAAAUUCAGUGGCUUAAACCUAGGCUAGUUAUACGGUGUGAAACCAGUGCGUAUAUACAGUAGGUUAAUUAAAAAUAAUAAAUAAUGUACAAAAAUAUAAAUCAUUCAUGCACCUCAAUAUAGAGUUAAAAGCAGAUAUAGUGAAUGAUUUAUAGAAGUGUUUCUGUUACAGCUGUUAGUUUCAGGUGGUCUGAUACUGAGAAUCAACCAGCAAAACAAAAUUUGCAAACAGAAACUUUUCUCUCAAUUCCACAGACAUGUCUGUAUUUUUUUAUGCCAUUGUUUGUGUUGGGUUUGCUCUCUCACUCUACUUUAGUUGGAUUAUUUUCUGAGUGAAUCACUGGGUCUCUUUAAACACAGCUCACAUCAGGGGUGUGGUGAUAAACCGGUCUAACGAGAUCCAAAAAAACAGAAAUUUGACGGUUUCCAUUAGAAUUUACUGGUGUGGAUGAUGUCAUCACACUUUGAGGAACAAUGUCCCGCCCCCUCUACUGUAUGCACACAUUUAAGGUUUGCAUAUUUUAUUUCUUGUCCAUCCAACCUCAUCCAUCAUGUAUUAGUAUUUGAGUGACACAGAGCCGUUUAUAGAAACCCAACUGUCCGCUGUUGCUGUGUAUAAUUACAGAGAAAAAAGGGUGUUUCACCCUGAGCACAACCAAAAACAUCUACUUCUCCUUUACUGCUUUUACGCUGAGCGCUCCAUGAUCUGUGGAGACGAGCAUCCUCUCAGGACUUAAGAAAGAAUGCAAAUAUCCUUACCUGUAAAGUGACACCUGCUAUAUAAUCAUCAGUUGUAGAUAAUUAAUUUAUUAAAUAAAGACAUCUAAACUCAGUUAUUGAUAUUGUACCGUGUAUAUUUUGUGUAUAUACAGUCUGUAUUGUAUAAUACAAAAACAUAUUAAAAUUUGUCAUUUUAAGUUCUUGGCUAUUGCUCCAGUGUUAUUAUGGUUUGAACGUAAAACUAAAAACAUAAUAAACGUGUAAUUUUGUAGAUAAAUAGAAACAAGUU